ACACACCUUGCAGCCCUUACACAUACAAACACAGAUUCACACAAUGCAUUCCUUACACACAUAUCAGGACAUCCCCUACACACUCCACCCCCUGUGAACAAACUCAUUGGUGUAACAUGAAGGUGGACCCUGGGACCCAGACCUUGAACUGUGUAAAGGGCCCCCAAAAAAUGGAGCUGCUUCCCGUUCUCCCAGAACAUUGAUUUUUGUGACCACAG
Pelobates cultripes (western spadefoot toad) is the source of this 218-nucleotide non-coding RNA. Lineage: Eukaryota; Metazoa; Chordata; Amphibia; Anura; Pelobatidae. The record is from the annotation of a GenBank genome assembly.